ACGAGAGCAAUUGAAAUUGGAUGAUCGUCGACGCGAGUCUAAGAUCCGGUAUUCAGAAGCCGAAUUUCAUAAUAUUUGUAAGAUCGUCAGACGAUCUUCGAACACAAGAUCCCGACCGUGAAUAUUUAUAUCGGCUUGCGAUUACAUACAACGUAGAUAAAUUUUGGUUCUGAUUGGUCGAAUUCCAAAUGCGCAACGCCGCACGAAUCUCCGAGUUGCAAGUGUGGUCCGUAGUCCGAAGAAGAAGCUCUUCGGCUUCGGGGGGAAAACUCCGUGUGCUCUCUCGCAUCUGCUCGGAGUAGGUACGAAGUAAAGAAAAGAAAAAAAAAAAAGAGCGUGAAAUGUUGAUGCGUAUACACGUUGUUGUUGAAGAUUUCGUAGGCGCGAGAGAGAGAGCGUGAAACGUGUGUUGUUGUUCCGCGGGAUUUGAAAGGGUAAGGUUUGUAAUAUUAGUGAAUAUAUAAUUUUACAAAAUUAG
This is a long non-coding RNA of Pseudomyrmex gracilis, 478 nucleotides long. RefSeq lists it as uncharacterized. The record is from RefSeq and is a predicted model, not a curated record. The transcript is spliced from 3 exons. Lineage: Eukaryota; Metazoa; Arthropoda; Insecta; Hymenoptera; Formicidae.